This is a long non-coding RNA of Aedes albopictus (Asian tiger mosquito), 2450 nucleotides long. RefSeq lists it as uncharacterized. Lineage: Eukaryota; Metazoa; Arthropoda; Insecta; Diptera; Culicidae. The record is from RefSeq and is a predicted model, not a curated record. The transcript is spliced from 2 exons.
AGAUAUAUGAGUUUCAAUUUCGUAGGUGUUGAGUCUGUUUGUCGGUGAUUCUUGUUAUAUCAAAAAUAAAUGUAACACUGACGUAUAGGGUGUCCCAGAAAGUAUGGGCACAACUUUGCAGCUCUGCCAUUUGGGAAUGAAUGCAUAAACAAACUUUAUUUUGUAACCGUUCGGUUCCAGUUUUACUUGAUGGCUCCACCCCAAGUCCUAAAUAAUUCCUACCUCCUCCUGAAUACGACCCUGAAACAUAAAAAAUGAAUUCAAUGAUGGAAUAACGGCACUCAUUCGUUCUUGACUGCGAGUGUGUGAGCUUGUUCCACUUCCACUUGUACCUAGUUUUGGCAGAAGUACGUUUAGAGUAGUUUGAGUAGGCAAAUAAAUCCCAGCCCUGUUACGCGAUACUGGUCCACAGAUGGAGCUAGGGAGAAAUGAAUAAUAGGGUGUGAAAAUCAAAGCAUAAAUGUCUAUCUAAAAAAAAAAAUAAUGAAAAAAGGCAUUCCUUAUAAAAGCAGAACCGUUCGAUGGAACAGCUUCUUUGUAAUAGUGAUCCUCAAACGGUUCGUACACGGUAAAAAAAACUGCACUGUGAUAUGAACGGAUUGACACUUGAAUUCGCACUACUGUUUAAUCAGUUUGUUAUCAAUUAAAUAUCAUUCGAAAAAGAACAUCCAAUGCUUCUUCAUUUUUAAUUGAACUUCACUUCAAUUCGUUGUUGACAAUGUUUUGAAUUCGAAUCCAGAAUUUUAAAAAAUAAAAGUGCUCACCGCACCCAGAUUCGAUACCAGGAUCUUGAGAUUCAAGAUCAUCUGUUUUACCACUACACUACUCCGCAACUCUUAAAGUGGCUCGAUUCGAAGCGAAACACAUUAUCACAGUCAUUAUCAAAUCAACAGCUUUUCACUUUGGAUCGUACUGCUUUAUACAUUAGUGCAAAUUGAAGUGAUUUUUAGUUUAUUUCUCUGGUGGGUUUGUUUUGGUUCUCAAAUCAACACUGACAGCAUUGCGAUUUCAAUCGAACAGCCUUUCUGAUCAUGCUGAUUGGGAUGUUGAAUAGUUAAGGGAUUUUUCCCUUACAUUGAGCGUGCAGAAUUUUUACCGUGUAGUGCGCGCGGUCACUAAAGUAGUUUGAGGUUAGUUUGUGUUGCCUCUUUUGUGUGUGAAAAUUGUUAUAAUUUAGUAUCGUUUUAUUCUUUUAAAUAGGUCCUAGUUCUUGUAUGUCAUAAAGAACUAUUAUGCUAGAAAAAUGUUAGUAAAAGUAUUAGUGGAACGAAAAUGUUAUGAUUAAAACAAUUGUUAGUGUGGUUAGUGCUAUUGCUUAUGUGUUAGUAGUUCCAAAAAUCUUAUAUAUGUUAAAAUUGUAGCUAUUUGUAAAGUAACAAAACAACCGAUUUAACGAAACAAAGGAAGACCCACGAAUACGACACUUAAACACGAAGAAAAAGGUAAAAGUUAAUAAGAAGCGGAAAAAGUGUAUAGUGAGGUUAGGUUUGUGCCGAUCACCGGGUACUAAUCCAAUGCGAAAAGGUCCACGCAUGGGACCUUUUUCUUUUGUACUCCUUUUCGAGUUUCUUGCCAGUGAAUCCCCGGUGGCGUGCCUCGUGUAAGCUGAAGUGUAGCAUAGGCUCCAAAGUCUACAUUCUCAAUGGCCGUCGUCUCCAUCACUUGUGGCCAUGUGGAGAGUUGUUUCCGCCAUUGCCACACGACGAUCAUUAUGCUCGCUUCCCAGACACUGUUUGGAAGCCACGGGUCCACCAGAAACCACCAGCCCUCCGGAAGCCACAACCUUGGAUAUUCCGAUAUCUCUCCGAUCGUCGGUAAGGUCACGCGAGCAGAUACCAGUAAAACACGUUCGCCAAGCCGGGGCCACCGCCAAACACCAAGCCCCUCCCCCCCCCCCCCCCCCCCCCGUCCUGCGGAGGGAUGUCAUACACGUUACCACACCCCGUGGCCAGGAGGAAGCUUCAGUACCUACGGGUACUGUCCUCACCAACGUCAAGGCCGCCAAUGCCCUGCUGUGAUCCGCUCGGUCGUGCUUGAAAGACCAUCGACUCCGCUCAAGAUCUGGAUCGGCUCAACGGAAAAUCCCAGUUAAGUAGCCUUGUGUGACGUCACAUGAAUAAACAUUAUUGUAAAUAGAAUAACCACAGAGAUAGUUGAUUUAGGAGGAAAAACUGCCCUGAAUAUAACCAUUUUCACCCUUUUUGCAUGCCCGUCCCCGGAUUCAGAAAGGAAUCAUCACACCUCGCCUUUGAGUGAUCACAUCGUCUGCUUUAUAGAUUACAGUGUUUUGAUUUCACCAUAUUUCUCCACCCCUUCAACAUCUUUGGAUAGUUACUUCCGGUUCCAUCAACUCCUAUUAAGAACAGAAACUGUGAUUCUAGUGUAUGUAUGUGGUUGAAAAGUCAAUAUACGACCCUAAGAUCCCCUUCCCCCGAGCUAGUGGGUUACAA